Macaca mulatta (Rhesus monkey) is the source of this 2401-nucleotide long non-coding RNA. The record is from Ensembl. NCBI's taxonomy places the organism in Eukaryota, Metazoa, Chordata, Mammalia, Primates, Cercopithecidae.
CCUUCAGGCGCCGGGCCGCACCCAGCAGCGGCUCCGGUCGUGCCUCGCCUUUCCUUCGCACGUCCCUGUGAGCCGCCUCCAGGAACGAGUGAAUCAGAGAAUGAAUGAGUGGGGAGGAAAAUCCCGGCGCGGCCCCACCCCCUGCUCGGCUUUCCUAGGAAGCGGGCCCAGCAGCCUCUGUCCCAGCGCGCUAGGAGGCACAGCAGCCUCGGGCAGAACUGGAACAAAUAAUGGGCUUGCCAGUUCUCCAGAAAGAAUACUUCCUUUCAAAGCCCUCUCUUAUGGACAUUACAGCCAAGUACAGAAGUUAGACAGUAUUACCAAAGGCAAGUAAAAGGGGUCUAUGGGAGCACGUAAUGAGGAAUACGCUUGGGGAAUGAAUGUUGUCUGUGAGCUCAGGGAACAAAUGAAUGGGGGGAAUGAAAUAAUUGCUUGAAUGAAUGGGGUGGUUUGAGGAAUGACACAGGACUGUAUAUUUAAUAUAUCAAGUAUGUAUACAUUUAUAUUACAAAUAUAAUAUGUAUAUAUUAAUAUAUAAAUGCAUAUUAUACAUUUGGUGUACACCAAAUGCUUCAUAUAUAUUUAAAGAUCACAUUCUCAGAUGAACACAGCUAGUUCUUACAUGUGGUUCACCACAGUAAACAAAACUGGAUUUUUUUCUAAAGAAUACCAGCUGCUGGUGAAAGGGAUCACUACCCUUUUUCAGCAGGGGAAGGAGGUAUAUCUUCUUUUUCUAUGCUUUCAAGCACCUUUGUUUUGUUGUUCUGGCUAUGAAUCUCAAUCCUCAAACUCUCCUGGGUGAAAAAAUGUCAUAUUUUUUAGUUUUCACAAAUAAAAUUAACUUUGACUCCAAGUCUCCCCUUCUACAAGUGAGAAAUUCAAGAUGAGUCAUUGCUGGUGCUCCUCUCCCCUGUUGUUCCCAACCCCCUGCCAGGGAGGUGCAGAGGCCUUACCUAGCUUCAAGCACGGGGAGGUCCCUUCCUUCAUCUGCCCACACUGGGUUCCACGGAAGGUGCCCACUGUUUUAGUCCUCAGAGUCCCUUAGAUCCAAGGACUCUGCUGUUUUCAUACCACCGUUGGGUACAAGAGCCUUUGGCGAGCCAGAAAUGCUUGGCCCCAUCUUCAAGGCACUACCAGGGACGACAGUGCAGGAGAACAGGUGUGCAUGACAGCUUUCAUUUUCUCUUUUAAAAAAAUUUAAAAUUUCUUAUAAUAAUUUGUCGUGUAUUUAAUUUUUUGUUGUUGUUACUUAGUAGGACUUCAGAACGACACAGAAAAACAACCAUCUCUCAUUGUCAAGACAUAUCCACCGUUUUCCCCAGAGGCAAACAAACCCAGUUCUCUUUUCCCUCCAGGGAAUCCAGCAUAGACCUCUCUAUGUGUUUAGGAGGUUGGAAAAAAAGACCAAGAAGGGAAGUAUCUUGCAAGCCACUUCUGCUUUCCUCCUUGUGACAUAUUAAUAUUUGCCUGCAGCAAAGAAGCACGGGGCCUACUAUCUUCCUGAAUAUGGGACAAGAAAGAGGAAAAUACACAGAGAAUGCCAUAAAUACAUAUCUCAAAUCUCCAUCCUCCCACACAGUCAAAUUGCACAAGCUUGCUCAGCUGAGUUAACAGGGAGACUCUUUUGCCUGCAAACAGGUCAAUCACCAGUAAGCUAUUAUACUUGAUACCUACCCUCUUCUACAAAUUCACUUAGAAAUUCUGAUUGGGAAAGAAAAGUCAAAGGUCAGAGGAAUAAAAUGGCUGAGUAAAAUUGUUUUCAUAGUUUACAUUUAUUUUUCGUACAAGUUUAAUUCCAGUAGGUAAAAUAUUAAAAGUAUGAGCACCUGUAAUCAGGGUCAAUUGAUAAAGUUAGAAAAUUCCAGUAGGUAUUUUGUCCUUUCGGAGCAUGACUCUACCUUUAAAAAUGUCAAUGAGAAUGUAAUUUAGAUAGUUACAAUUGUACUGUAAGAAGAAUCACCUGAUGAUUUGUAGUAACUACUCUCAUGUAUAUUUACAUUUAACUUACAUCCACUGAUUAUUUUUCCUAAAAUAAUCUGGUAAAGAGCAAGUCAAGUCCCUACAAGCAGUUUCUUCAGUGAUACGUUUGCAACUUCUGUAAUAACUUUUGCUCUAUAAUUAUUGCUUUUCUUUUCCUAGAAGCUCACGCGUUGACAAAGGGAAACAUAGGAGUCUCCAUUUUGUCUGGAGACUUCUCUAUUCUUCUGCUUUAGUUUUGGAUACAUUUAUGCAUAUGAUAGCAAUGCUAAGUAAAAGUUAUAAUUAGAAUAUAUGGUAAUGUAGGAUGAGUAAUAUGUGUGUGUAUAUAUAUAUGCAUUAAAAAAAAAACAGAGAUUCUUUGCUGUUACCACAGCAAAUAAUGGGAAACCACAAGGGCUUUUCCUCCACUUUUCUAUUUAAA